GCCUUUGCAGCUGGAGACAGUACGCCGAACGACUCAAAAGAACUCGGCCGCAUGCAAGUCAGCGCCUGCUGGCGACACUUUCGAAUUGACGGGGACCCCCUAAAACCCUUCCCACCAAGCCAGCCCGGGAAACCGGCUGGUGGCCUGUUCUAACGCACAGGGUACGGUAACAGAGGAAGCGGAUGAACCGAGUGCUCUCUCCGGGGCCUUGGGGAAAUGGGCGAUCCGCAGCGAAGCCCCUUCUCUGCCCCCGCGGCAGAUGGGGAACGUUCACAGACUAAGUGGAAGUGGGUGGGGCACUGCCCUGCUUAAGAUAUAGUCGGGCCCCUGGGGAAACCUUGGGGAGCGUGGCACUCGCAGGUGCCAGUCGAAAAAAACCGUUCCGUAGGUGAACCUUCGGAAGGAUCAUUACCAUAACGCGGUUGCCCGGUCAGGGCAGCCACACGCGUUCUUACCACCCUUGACUUUGAGCACCUUCAUGUUUCCUCGGCAGGGACGCCUGCCAGCGAGGACCCCCCAAAAACCUUUUGCAGUUUGCAGUAUUUGUCUGAAAACAAACAUAAUAAUCAAAACUUUCAACAAUGGAUCUCUUGGUUCUGGCAUCGAUGAAGAACGCAGCGAAAUGCGAUAAGUAGUGUGAAUUGCAGAAUUCAGUGAAUCAUCGAAUCUUUGAACGCACAUUGCGCCCUAUAGUAUUCUGUAGGGCAUGCCUGUUCGAGCGUCAUUUAACCCCUCAAGCCCAGCUUGGUAUUGGGUGCUUGUCCCGCCUCCUGCGCGGCGACUCACCUCAAAGUCAUUGGCAGCCCGCAAUCGCCGGCCGUGAGCGCAGCACAGACGCGCUUGUGGAAUCCGGCGGCUCGGCUCUCCAAAAGCUUGUUCAACCACAA
RNAcentral lists this ribosomal RNA (887 nucleotides) under Ascomycota sp. CCG-2012c. RNAcentral's name for it is "eukaryotic LSU rRNA". The stretch from base 571 to 724 matches the Rfam family "5.8S ribosomal RNA". The record is from RNAcentral. Lineage: Eukaryota; Fungi; Ascomycota.